This 444-nucleotide ribosomal RNA is filed under the name uncultured bacterium. RNAcentral's name for it is "partial 16S ribosomal RNA". It matches the Rfam family "Bacterial small subunit ribosomal RNA", at positions 354 to 796 of the family's 1533-position model. The record is from RNAcentral.
GUAGUGAAUAUUGGGCAAUGGUCGGAAGACUGACCCAGCCAUGCCGCGUGCAGGAAGACGGCCCUCUGGGUUGUAAACUGCUUUUAUCUGGGAAGAAAAAGGCCAUGCGUGGCAAAUUGCCGGUACCAGAUGAAUAAGCACCGGCUAACUCCGUGCCAGCAGCCGCGGUAAUACGGAGGGUGCGAGCGUUGUCCGGAUUUAUUGGGUUUAAAGGGUGCGUAGGCGGCUGAUUAAGUCAGCGGUGAAAGACUUCGGCUUAACCGGAGCAGUGCCGUUGAUACUGGUUGGCUUGAGUGUCGGAGGGGUACAUGGAAUUGAUGGUGUAGCGGUGAAAUGCAUAGAUACCAUCAGGAACACCGAUAGCGAAGGCAUUGUACUGGCCGACAACUGACGCUGAUGCACGAAAGUGUGGGGAUCGAACAGGAUUAGAUACCCGAGUAGUCC